This 506-nucleotide ribosomal RNA is filed under the name uncultured Glomus. RNAcentral describes it as "SSU rRNA". It matches the Rfam family "Eukaryotic small subunit ribosomal RNA", at positions 570 to 1078 of the family's 1831-position model. Lineage: Eukaryota; Fungi; Glomeromycota; Glomeromycetes; Glomerales; Glomeraceae. The record is from RNAcentral.
GCAGCCGCGGUAAUUCCAGCUCCAAUAGCGUAUAUUAAAGUUGUUGCAGUUAAAAAGCUCGUAGUUGAAUUUCGGGAUCAGUUGGUCGGUCGUGCCUCGGUACGUACUGGUCAAAUUGAUUCCUACCUUCUGACGAACCACGAUGUCAUUAAUUUGGUGUCGUGGGAAAUCAGGACUGUUACUUUGAAAAAAUUAGAGUGUUUAAAGCAGGCUCGCGCUUGAAUACAUUAGCAUGGAAUAAUGAAAUAGGACGUUUGAUUCUAUUUUGUUGGUUUCUAGGAUCGACGUAAUGAUUAAUAGGGAUAGUUGGGGGCAUUAGUAUUCAAUUGUCAGAGGUGAAAUUCUUGGAUUUAUUGAAGACUAACUACUGCGAAAGCAUUUGCCAAGGAUGUUUUCAUUAAUCAAGAACGAAAGUUAGGGGAUCGAAGACGAUCAGAUACCGUCGUAGUCUUAACCAUAAACUAUGCCGACUAGGGAUCGGAUGAUGUUAAUUUUUUAAUGACUCA